UGCUAAUACCCGAUAUGCCGAAAGGUGAAAAGUUGUUUCGCCUGGAGAGGAGCUCGCGUCCGAUUAGCUAGUUGGUGAGGUAAAAGCUUACCAAGGCGACGAUCGGUAGCUGGUCUGAGAGGAUGAGCAGCCACACUGGAACUGAGACACGGUCCAGACUCCUACGGGAGGCAGCAGUGGGGAAUUUUCCGCAAUGGGCGAAAGCCUGACGGAGCAACGCCGCGUGGGGGAAGAAGGUUUUUGGAUUGUAAACCCCUUUUCUCAAGGAAGAACAAAAUGACGGUACUUGAGGAAUCAGCCUCGGCUAACUCCGUGCCAGCAGCCGCGGUAAUACGGAGGAGGCAAGCGUUAUCCGGAAUUAUUGGGCGUAAAGCGUUCGUAGGCGGCUGUUCAAGUCUGCUGUCAAAGACCGAGGCUCAACCUCGGGUCGGCAGUGGAAACUGAAUAGCUAGAGGUCGGUAGGGGCAGAGGGAAUUCCCAGUGUAGCGGUGAAAUGCGUAGAUAUUGGGAAGAACACCGGUGGCGAAA
RNAcentral lists this ribosomal RNA (528 nucleotides) under Oscillatoria sp. MBTD-CMFRI-S137. Its description in RNAcentral is "bacterial SSU rRNA". It matches the Rfam family "Bacterial small subunit ribosomal RNA", at positions 161 to 720 of the family's 1533-position model. Lineage: Bacteria; Bacillati; Cyanobacteriota; Cyanophyceae; Oscillatoriales; Oscillatoriaceae. The record is from RNAcentral.